CCGUGACUGAAUUAAAGUAUAUAACUAUGCGCAAGCAUAAUUUUAGUAUUAGUAUUGUCAUCUGAUAAAGUUAUGCCGAUUAUAAGAUACACAGUUUUCUCUGCUUUCAAAUCUUUCUGUUUGAACCCGUCGAACUGGAACUUAUCAAUUAUUGGUAAUAUUAAUUAUUUGGAAAACAAAAGGUCCUGGAAUGGACUAUUUUUUCAUCAACAUCAUUGUCCUAUAUUAGUUAUAAAUAAAGUUGAAUUCUUUGAUUCGCUGUUUUACGUCAUGCCCGCA
This 279-nucleotide long non-coding RNA is filed under the name Mytilus galloprovincialis (Mediterranean mussel). Lineage: Eukaryota; Metazoa; Mollusca; Bivalvia; Mytilida; Mytilidae. The record is from RNAcentral.